Molecule: ribosomal RNA, 395 nt
Filed under: Palaemon pandaliformis
Lineage: Eukaryota; Metazoa; Arthropoda; Malacostraca; Decapoda; Palaemonidae
Description: partial 16S ribosomal RNA
Rfam family: Bacterial large subunit ribosomal RNA
Source: RNAcentral
CGCGGUAAUUUGACCGUGCGAAGGUAGCAUAGUAAGUAGUCUUUUAAUUGAAGACUUGAAUGAAUGGUUGGAUGAGAGGUAAGCUGUCUUUUAACAAUUUAUAAAAUUUAACUUUUAAGUGAAAAGGCUUAAAUUAAUUAAGGGGACGAUAAGACCCUAUAAAACUUUACACGAAAUGCUGAAGUUUAUAGAUUGUGUGUGAUAUAAUUUUAGUAUUUUUUGUUUUGUUGGGGCGACAUGGAUAAAUAGUAACUGUCUAUUAAAAUUUAAUAAUAAUGAUUAGUUUGUGAUCCUUUAUUAGGGAUUAGAAGAAUAAGUUACUUUAGGGAUAACAGCGUGAUUUUUCCUGAGAGUUCUUAUCGACGGAAGUAGUUGCGACCUCGAUGUUGAAUUAA